GUGCUUGCUUCGGCAGUACAUAUACUAAAAUUGGAACAAUACAGAUUAGAUUAGCAUGGCCCCUGCACAGAGAUGACAUGCAAAUUAAUGAAGUGUUCCAUAUUUCU
Molecule: small nuclear RNA, 107 nt
Organism: Aethalodelphis obliquidens (Pacific white-sided dolphin)
Lineage: Eukaryota; Metazoa; Chordata; Mammalia; Artiodactyla; Delphinidae
Source: RefSeq, a predicted model, not a curated record